UACUCACUUUCGCCACUGAAAAUGUUUACAUGCUCAUAAUAUUCCGGUUUUUGCCCUAAUUCUGAAAAUGGUGAUAUUUCGACUAAGCUGUUUACAUAGCUAAUGAAAGUGAAUAUUCCACUAAUA
Long non-coding RNA from Etheostoma spectabile (orangethroat darter), 126 nucleotides. RefSeq lists it as uncharacterized. The record is from RefSeq and is a predicted model, not a curated record. Lineage: Eukaryota; Metazoa; Chordata; Actinopteri; Perciformes; Percidae. The transcript is spliced from 3 exons.